RNAcentral lists this ribosomal RNA (497 nucleotides) under uncultured bacterium. RNAcentral describes it as "partial 16S ribosomal RNA". It matches the Rfam family "Bacterial small subunit ribosomal RNA", at positions 28 to 507 of the family's 1533-position model. The record is from RNAcentral.
GAUGAACGCUGGCGGCGUGCCUAAUACAUGCAAGUAGAACGCUGAAGCUUGGUGCUUGCACCGAGCGGAUGAGUUGCGAACGGGUGAGUAACGCGUAGGUAACCCGCCUGGUAGCGGGGGAUAACUAUUGGAAACGAUAGCUAAUACCGCAUGACAACAGUUAUUGCAUGAUAUCUGUUUAAAAGGGGCAAUUGCUCCACUACCAGAUGGACCUGCGUUGUAUUAGCUAGUUGGUGAGGUAACGGCUCACCAAGGCGACGAUACAUAGCCGACCUGAGAGGGUGAUCGGCCACACUGGGACUGUGACACGGCCCAGACUCCUACGGGAGGCAGCAGUAGGGAAUCUUCGGCAAUGGACGGAAGUCUGACCGAGCAACGCCGCGUGAGUGAAGAAGGGUUUCGGAUCGGAAAGCUCUGUUGUAAGAGAAGAACGAGUGUGAGAGUGGAAAGUUCACACUGUGACGGUAGCUUACCAGAAAGGGACGGCUAACUACGUG